CCGCACCACUGUGAACCUGGAAGCCAAGGAGCGUCGCUGCGCCGGCUGCCGUACGGGUUGCUGCCGUACGGGUUGCUGCACAGUAUCCUCGAUAUCCACAGCGUGGGAAGCGCUCAACGCGUAUGUCCAGCGUGAUACCACGCGUUAAACGACCACCGGCACGUGGUCAUCGACUUGCGGAAGAUCGCGGCGCCGGCUAGUAAUAGCUACGGGACCAAGUACCGACUGCCGCACUUGGUGGAGGUCCUGGAGCACACCGUCGGCCGGUGGACGCUGUCCCUGACGUUGAUGGACGGCGUCGUCACUCCGGGAUUGGAAGCAGCCGCUCACCGCUGCCUAUUCCGGAAGGGCAUCCGGCUGCCGAUGAUCAUCCUGCGAAAGGUCACGUGUCAACACCCACUGACCGCCAAUUACCCGCAGCAACACCUGGACUGGGCCAAACUCGGAUACUUCGUGAAGAUAUGCCGGACGUUGCACUUGCAAAAGGUCACGGUCAUGUCCCUCUUCGAGCCCAUCGCCCGGUUGUGGUGCUCGUAGCCGCGCGUCACCGGCGACCUGCAUGUCCUCUUGAAGAAGGCCUCCAUCAACUGUACACUGAAAACGGAAGCGAGCCAAGUGCGGGAGUUUCUCAGCGCGGUCAACCGCAGCUGCCGCGCAUUGACGGCCGCUGAAUGGGGCAACAUCAGUCGGGUUUGCGACGAACUAGCCGGUGACGAACUAACCGUUGACGCCGGCGGUCACUGGUUUCAUGUGGCGUUAAUGCUGAAACUGUUGAACGAGCGGCCGCAGUCACCGCUGUCCCGCCUGGCCGCCUACGCUUUCCUGUCCGCUAAAACAGGCCCCCCGUCGCCAACCCGUUCCGCCAGCGAGGUCACCG
Molecule: long non-coding RNA, 877 nt
Organism: Paramacrobiotus metropolitanus
Lineage: Eukaryota; Metazoa; Tardigrada; Eutardigrada; Parachela; Macrobiotidae
Exons: 3
Source: RefSeq, a predicted model, not a curated record